CAGACACUGAGUGUGGCAGGACUACCCGC
This 29-nucleotide ribosomal RNA is filed under the name Trypanosoma rangeli. RNAcentral's name for it is "partial 28S ribosomal RNA". The record is from RNAcentral. Lineage: Eukaryota; Euglenozoa; Kinetoplastea; Trypanosomatida; Trypanosomatidae.